This 413-nucleotide ribosomal RNA is filed under the name uncultured microorganism. RNAcentral describes it as "bacterial SSU rRNA". It matches the Rfam family "Archaeal small subunit ribosomal RNA", at positions 330 to 745 of the family's 1478-position model. The record is from RNAcentral.
GUGCAGCAGUCGAGAAAACUUCACACUGUGCGAAAGCACGAUGAGGGAAUCCCAAGUGCUUGCACGUAAGUGUAAGCUGUUUCUCUGUCUAAAACGCAGAGAGAGUAAGGGCUGGGUAAGACGGGUGCCAGCCGCCGCGGUAAUACCUGCAGCUCAAGUGGUGACCGUUAUUAUUGGGCCUAAAACGUCCGUAGCCGGUUUAAUAAAUGCCUGGGUAAAUUGUGUAGCUUAACUAUACGAAUUCCGGGUAGACUGUUAAACUUGAGACCGGGAGAAGUUAGAGGUACUCCUGGGGUAGAGGUGAAAUUCUGUAAUCCUAGGGGGACCACCAGUGGCGAAGGCGUCUAACUAGAACGGGUCUGACGGCGAGGGACGAAGCCCUGGGGCGCAAACGGGAUUAGAUACCCGGUAGU